CCAUGGCCUGUGCUCUCAAGCGGGA
This 25-nucleotide non-coding RNA is filed under the name Cricetulus griseus (Chinese hamster). The record is from RNAcentral. Lineage: Eukaryota; Metazoa; Chordata; Mammalia; Rodentia; Cricetidae.